UACGUAGGUGGCAAGCGUUGUCCGGAUUUACUGGGCGUAAAGAGCGCGCAGGCGGUCGUUCAAGUCGCGUGUGAAAGCCCCCGGCUCAACUGGGGAGGGUCACGCGAUACUGAUCGACUCGAAGGCAGGAGAGGGAAGUGGAAUUCCCGGUGUAGUGGUGAAAUGCGUAGAUAUCGGGAGGAACACCAGUGGCGAAGGCGGCAUCCUGGACCAAUAUUGACGCUGAGAAGCGAAAGCAUGGGGAGCGAACAGG
This 253-nucleotide ribosomal RNA is filed under the name uncultured bacterium. Its description in RNAcentral is "partial 16S ribosomal RNA". It matches the Rfam family "Bacterial small subunit ribosomal RNA", at positions 524 to 776 of the family's 1533-position model. The record is from RNAcentral.